GCUGGGUGUGGUGGCGCAUGCCUGUAAUCCCAGUAGCUUGGGAGGCUGAAGCAGGAGGAUCACAAGUUCAAAGCCAGCCUCAG
This 83-nucleotide small RNA is filed under the name Marmota monax (woodchuck). Lineage: Eukaryota; Metazoa; Chordata; Mammalia; Rodentia; Sciuridae. The record is from RNAcentral.